CCGUGCCCUGUUCAGCAAGAGU
RNAcentral lists this unclassified non-coding RNA (22 nucleotides) under Chlamydomonas reinhardtii. Its description in RNAcentral is "small RNA Cre_1132". Lineage: Eukaryota; Viridiplantae; Chlorophyta; Chlorophyceae; Chlamydomonadales; Chlamydomonadaceae. The record is from RNAcentral.